ACUUUACAAUGCGAGCAAUCGUGAUAAGGAAACCCUGAGUGCCUGUCAAUGCAGGCUGUUCUGGUGUCUAACACACACCAGGAGAAAGGGCGGGGCAAGACCGGUGCCAGCCGCCGCGGUAAUACCGGCUGCUCGAGUGAUAGCCACUUUUACUGGGCUUAAAGCGUUCGUAGCUUGGUCGUUAAGUCUCUGGGGAAAUCUUUUGGCUCAACCAAAAGGCGUCUCAGGGAAACUGACGAUCUUGGAACCGGGAGAGGUAAGGCGUACUUCGGGGGUAGGAGUGAAAUCUUGUAAUCCCCGAGGGACGACCGAUGGCGAAGGCAUCUUACCAGAACGGCUUCGACAGUGAGGGACGAAAGCUGGGGGAGCAAACCGGAUUAGAUACCCGGGUAGUCCCAGCCGUAAACGAUGUGCGUUAGGUGUGUCAGUGACCACGAGUCGCUGAGGUGCCGAAGGGAAACCGUGAAACGCACCGCCUGGGAAGUACGGUCGCAAGGCUGAAACUUAA
This 508-nucleotide ribosomal RNA is filed under the name uncultured Methanocalculus sp. Its description in RNAcentral is "bacterial SSU rRNA". It matches the Rfam family "Archaeal small subunit ribosomal RNA", at positions 347 to 859 of the family's 1478-position model. The record is from RNAcentral. Lineage: Archaea; Methanobacteriati; Methanobacteriota; Methanomicrobia; Methanomicrobiales; Methanocalculaceae.